Molecule: long non-coding RNA, 3059 nt
Organism: Equus caballus (horse)
Lineage: Eukaryota; Metazoa; Chordata; Mammalia; Perissodactyla; Equidae
Source: Ensembl
CUCAGAGACAGUUGGACCCUCGCUGGGUGGGCCUGUGCCCGAGGCGCCUUGAGGACAACACAGAGAGCAACGUCCAGGCCUUCAAAUUUUGCCUGUGAUGCUAAUAAUUUUGACCUGAUUGACCAAAAUGAAAAAAGGCUUUGGAAGGCAAGAAUGUACUUGGCAGCAUGUGCAUGGCGUAGGAUCUAAAAACUGUGUCAAUACACGCGGUGAAGAAAACUUUGGAGUCAUUACAGCCACGUGGUAGCCUGGAAAUCAUGCAUUUUCAGCACCAUCCCGGGGAGGGAGGAGGACAAUGCGGCACAGAGCAGCCUGCCCAUGUUGAAGGUGGAAUCCCAGCUCACAGAGGUACGGAUGCUGGGGAAGAGAUGCUUCCUUGGGAGCGGCUGCUGCCGCUAAGAUGCCAGUUUGCCCGGUUACCCCCUCAGUCAAAAGGACAGUUGCACCAGGUCUGCCUACUAGGGACACUUGGGGAACCCCACGUCCUUGGGGCCUGAGCACCAAGAAACUGUGGCCCAGCUGUGUAUCGUGCUCUUGUUCUGCCAGAGCCCAGAGGACUUGCGGAGGGAGCAGUCCUGACCCAGGAAAUAGUCUUAGCAGCCCCACUGUGCACACAGAGGCUUUAUCCUGAGCUGGGGGCCUCCCCGGCCUCAGGACGGAUUGGAGGCAGCGGAUCCCAUCUGCCUCGUGAGCCCCCAUCACUCAUGGAGAAAACGGGAUGACCUAGAAGCCAGGGUUGGGGAAAACAGGGAUUAGCACCGACAAGGAACCCACCUGCCUAAGGACAGAACAGCCAGAGCCCUUAGCAUCUGCGUGCGAGGCUCUGUCAGAAGGGACAGCACACCCUCCCCCCGCUGGGGAGGAGGCCAAGGGAACCCAGGCCACCUGGAGGGAUUCUGGAAUGACUGGGGUGUGGCAGAGAGGAGAGGACAGUGGUCUGAUUGGUUCCCAGGACCCAACCCGAGCAGAGAAGGUGGGGAAUUGGGGUGAUCUGCUCUGCGCGCCUAGUCACUCUUUCUCCACGGGCAUUCAGUAUCACCCACACCCCCUCUGUGCCGGGCAGCAUUGUCCAUGUGAAGUGUAUGAAUAAGACAGGACCCUGAAGGAGCCGUGGUCACUACACUGCAGAGGCAGAGAGCCCUCUCUGAAUACGUCAUCACAGCGCAGCACGAUGGGCACCGGAGCAGGAGGAACUGAGGGCAAAAGAUACGACCCCACACCAGCACUUACACCAGCACUGUCUAGUAUGUUCCUCCUAGUUUUCUCACUUUUCUUAGCGUUGUCUUCACAAAUGGAUUGUAAGUGCCUUUAGGGCAGAGACCAGCUUUCUGCCUCUUUAUGAUAAGUAGUGGUCAGUGCUUUUAAAUUGACCAACCAUGAAAACUACAAUGAGAUACCACCUCACUCCCGUCAGAAUGGUAUAAUUAACAAGACAGGAAACAAUAAGUGUUGGAGAGUAUGUGGAGAGAAGGGAACCAUCAUGCACUGCUGGCGGGAGCGCAAACACUAUGGAAAACAGUGUGGAGAUUCCUCAAAAAAUUGAGAAUAGAUCUACCAUAUGAUCCAGCUAUUCCACUGCUGGGUAUUUAUCCAAAGAACUUGAAAACACAAAUGCAUAAAGAUACAUGCACCCCUAUGUUCAGCGCAGCAUUAUGCACAAUAGCCAAGACUUGGAAGUAACCUAGGUGCCCAUCAGGGGACAAAUGGAUAUAGAAGAUGUGGUAUAUAUACACAACGGAAUACUACUCAGCCGUAAGAAACGAUGAAAUCCAGCCAUUUGUGACAACAUGGAUGGACCCUGAGGAUAUUAUGCUAAGUGAAAUAAGUCAGAGGGAGAAAGUCAAAUACCAUAUGAUCUCACUCAUAAAAAGAAGAUAAAAACAACAAAGAACAAUCUCACAGAGACAGAGAUUGGAUUGGUGGUUACCAGAGGGGAAGGGGAGAGGGAGGAAGGUGAAAGGGGUGAUUAGGCUCAUGUGUGUGGUGAUGGAUUGUGAUUAGUCACUGGGUGGUGAACAUGAUGUAAUCUACACAGAAAUCAAAAUAUGAUGUACACCCGAAAUUUAUAUAAUGCUACCCAAUGUUAUCACAAUAACAAUAAUUAAUUAAGUAAGUAAGUAAUUAAUUAAAUUGACCAACUAGCCUUGAACCCUGGGGAACCCAGGCCAUCUUGGGGGGUGGGCUGAUAUGUUUGGCGAUUAUAGCCCCACAGUCUUUUUAGGAAAGGAGGCAGAAAAGCUCCUGGGGCUGGUUAACUCAGGCUCUGCUUCCUGAGAGGCCUGCUUAAAGUCUCUUGUCCAUCAGCUGAGCUGCUUUGGGCAAGUUACUUCACCUCUCUGAGGCUGUUUCCCUAGCUGUAAGAGUAGAUGACGAUGCUGACCUCACAGUGUCUGAAGAGCUGCCUUAGAGCUGUGCCCAGCUGUGGCGAGCACUCAGAACAGGGCGUGGCUGCUCAGGACUCCAGCUCUGAGUCCCUUUAUCUUGUUCCAUCAGGCGCUGGCUCUUUCUAGAACCGACCUUCUCUGUUCUGCUCUAAGCUAGACUCUGGAGGUCCAGAAAGAGAUUAGUUUUUGAGGUUUACUUUUAGGUAAAAAGGGAGGAUUUAAAAAAAAUGCUUUGACCUGCUGUUGGCUGUUUGAAAGACGUGCGGUAUAACUAGGAGGAGAGAAAGGACCAGGUGACGUGUAGACCAGAGGGGUGUUCAGUCUUAAAAAAUGACUCUCUAGGAGAAGAUGCAAACAGACAGAAAAGUAGAAAGAAUAGUAUCAGUGUAACGAACAUCCACCGCCUAAAUGUUUUUCAUUGUAGUAAAGCAAAUAAAACAUAAAAUUUACCGCUUUCACCACUUUUAAGUGUACAGUUCAGUGGCAUUAAGUACACUCACAAUGUUGCGUCGCCAUCGCCACCCCCUAUCUCCAGACCUUUUUCACCAUCCUACACUGGAACUCUGUCCCCAUCAAACGCUGACUCCCCAGCCCCUCCCCCAGCCCCUUGGAACCACCUCUCUGCUUUCUGUCUUUAUGAAUUCGACUAUUCUGGCUAGCUUAUAUAAGUUCACC